AAAACGGGGAGCUUGCAUGAGCAGGCUGAGAUCGGACUGGUCAGUCCAGACCCAUAUAACCUGAUUUGGAUAAUGCCAACGUAGGGAUAUA
RNAcentral lists this non-coding RNA (91 nucleotides) under bovine gut metagenome. RNAcentral describes it as "TPP riboswitch (THI element)". It matches the Rfam family "TPP riboswitch aptamer (THI element)", at positions 10 to 89 of the family's 105-position model. Rfam says of the family: Vitamin B(1) in its active form thiamin pyrophosphate (TPP) is an essential coenzyme that is synthesised by coupling of pyrimidine and thiazole moieties in bacteria. The previously detected thiamin-regulatory element, thi box was extended, resulting in a new, highly conserved RNA secondary structure, the THI element, which is widely distributed in eubacteria and also occurs in some archaea. The record is from RNAcentral.